AUCUUGAGUUGACCCCAUCCCAUUCUUGUCUUGUGGUAUCUCCAUCCUGUGAUGCCUCAGCAGAAAGGCCCUAGCCAUGUGCCAGCACCUGGAUAUUAGACUUCUAAGCCUCAAGAGCUCAGAGAAAAUUGAAUUUCUUUAGAGAUUACCCAGUCUAUGACAAUCUGUCUAAAUAACACAAAACCAUAUGAAGGCACCUGUCCACAUGAGAACAAGAUCAGUCUGACAGAGGACCAGGGGAGGGGACACUGCCACAGAUUCCUGUACCACUGGCACAGCUGUCUCUCAAAUGCAUCCCAAUUGUAAGAGAUCUACUGUCUCAGAGCUGCCAUUACUUAGAACCCCAUGACCCCUGCCUGAGGGGCUCAGGUUUCCCUUUAGCAACAGGUGUGUGCAAAGCUGGCAGAUAGUUUAUGGCGUCUCAAUAUCACAGCUGCAGCUGCUAGUGUAUAAAUAAACUGGAGACUACUGGAGGCAUUGUGUUUUCUCAGACCCACAAAGUGAAAAUGUCCAUAAUGUUUAGCUUUUUACAAAAGAGUGCAAAUGGCUGCAAAGGACGUUAGUGACUUAAAUAAUACAUUUACAAAAGAAUAAUUUGGGAGACUAUGAGAGGAGGGAUUAACUAAUUUUACAACAUGCUACUAUAGAUUAAAUCCUAACAAUCAAUUUAAUUAUCCUUUCUUGAUCUUCUCAGCCCCGUCAACUUUGAAAGAUGGAACACCCAGAAAUAACAAUCAUUAAAAGGAGAAGAAAGGAAUGAUGGAAGAAAAAUUAUCAACAAUGGUGACAACAUCCUGGAUACUCCUGAGAAGAGAAACUGCCAAGUACAGAGACAUCGAAAAGGAUUUCCCACAGGAACAUUUGGAAGAAUUUUAGUACAAGUGCCCAGGCAGAAAGACACACUUACUUAUACUCACACUCAUACACGCACACUUGCACUCUCUCUCACACACACACACACAUCUACUCACACAUUCACUUAUGCACACAAUACUAAUUCACACAUAUUAGCACACUUACAGGUACAUAUACAUAUUCAGACAUGUACACAAUCAUAUUCACAUAGGCACACACACAUAGGAACACACCUAGAAUCAUUGAUACAUACGUAUAAGCACACACUCUGAGAAAUACACACUCUCACUUACACAUACAGCAACACACACUCACACACAUACACUCAUGCAUUCAUUCUCCCAAAUGCAUACACUUAAAUAUACACAUAAACUGAAACACACAAUGACCCAUACAUGUUCUCCAUGUCUUAAAAUGAUAAUUGUUCUACUGUGUAUAAUAUCAAGCAGACUGUGAGCAGAAUUUUAGGCCGUGCUAAUUACUAGCAUAAAGGAAAGAUUCUGAGAGAAGAGAAUGUGUGUUCAGUAGAUUCUUGAUCUGUGACACAGAGGAGGAGAUGAUCAGUCAUUUUUAUCCGAAACCCAGCUAAUGUUUCCCCGCCGUUUUUUCAUGGAGGUGUUACCUGAAGAAGGCUACAGCUAUCCACAGACUUCAACGCAGACAAAGGUGUCACAGCUGAAGAAGGUACCAUACAGGGAGGAAGAACCACAUGAGGAAACAGGAGCCCUAUAAGCUUACACUUGUGUUUUAUUCCUUGUUGCUUAUGCUCGAGACAAAAUACCUACCAGAAGUCAUCUCCAAAGAAGAAGGUGGGUGUAUGAGUGAAGCAGAGUGCCAUCAGUGAGCCCUGCGUCCUCUCCAGGAAACAGAAAUUAGCAUAAGGCCAUCUAAUAUGGAAAUUAAUAUCCCACGAUCUCUUACUCUGUGUACCUCAAGAACUGCAUAGACACAUGCAGCGUUAUUUUCUUUUUUAUUGAGGCAACUAAUAUUAAAAUAAAAAUAGAAUUAAUAAUUUAUUAGCCA
Molecule: long non-coding RNA, 1878 nt
Organism: Mus spicilegus (steppe mouse)
Lineage: Eukaryota; Metazoa; Chordata; Mammalia; Rodentia; Muridae
Source: Ensembl